Molecule: ribosomal RNA, 424 nt
Filed under: Verrucomicrobiota bacterium
Lineage: Bacteria; Pseudomonadati; Verrucomicrobiota
Description: Verrucomicrobia bacterium partial 16S ribosomal RNA
Rfam family: Bacterial small subunit ribosomal RNA
Source: RNAcentral
UGAGGAAUAUUGGUCAAUGGGCGAGAGCCUGAACCAGCCAAGUAGCGUGCAGGAUGACGGCCCUAUGGGUUGUAAACUGCUUUUAUAUGGGAAUAAAGUGAGGGACGUGUCCCUUAUUGCAUGUACCAUAUGAAUAAGGACCGGCUAAUUCCGUGCCAGCAGCCGCGGUAAUACGGAAGGUCCAGGCGUUAUCCGGAUUUAUUGGGUUUAAAGGGAGCGUAGGCUGUUUGUUAAGUGUGUUGUGAAAUGUAAGAGCUCAACUUUUAGAUUGCAGCGCGAACUGGCAGACUUGAGUGCGCACAACGUAGGCGGAAUUCAUGGUGUAGCGGUGAGAUGCUUAGAUAUCAUGACGAACUCCGAAUGCGAAGGCAGCUUACGGGAGCGCAACUGACGCUAAAGCUCGAAGGUGCGGGUAUCGAACAGG